GCGUCGGUGACUUAGUGGUUAAAGCACUUGACUUGCAAUCUGCAGGUCCUGGGUUCGAAUCUCAGCAUGUA
Molecule: transfer RNA, 71 nt
Filed under: Papilio xuthus (Asian swallowtail)
Lineage: Eukaryota; Metazoa; Arthropoda; Insecta; Lepidoptera; Papilionidae
Rfam family: tRNA
About the family: Transfer RNA (tRNA) molecules are approximately 80 nucleotides in length. Their secondary structure includes four short double-helical elements and three loops (D, anti-codon, and T loops).
Source: Rfam by way of RNAcentral